Molecule: ribosomal RNA, 477 nt
Filed under: uncultured bacterium
Lineage: Bacteria
Description: bacterial SSU rRNA
Rfam family: Bacterial small subunit ribosomal RNA
Source: RNAcentral
UUCGCAAUGCCCGAAAGGGUGACGAAGCGACGCCGCGUGCGGGAAGAAGGCCUUCGGGUUGUAAACCGCUGUCGGGAGUUAAGAAAUGUAAGGAUGUUAACAGCAUCUUUGCUUGACUAAGGCUCCGGAGGAAGCCACGGCUAACUCUGUGCCAGCAGCCGCGGUAAUACAGAGGCGGCAAGCGUUGUUCGGAAUUAUUGGGCGUAAAGAGCACGUAGGCGGCUAUGUAAGUCGGUUGUGAAAGCCUUCCGCUCAACGGGAGAACAGCAUCCGAUACUGCAUGGCUUGAGUGCGGGAGGGGAGAGUGGAACUUCUGGUGGAGCGGUGAAAUGCGUAGAUAUCAGAAGGAACGCCGGCGGCGAAAGCGGCUCUCUGGCCCAUAACUGACGCUGAGUGUGCGAAAGCUAGGGGAGCAAACGGGAUUAGAUACCCCGGUAGUCCUAGCCGUAAACGAUGGGCACUAAGUAGAGGGGUUUU